RNAcentral lists this ribosomal RNA (491 nucleotides) under Medicago lupulina. RNAcentral's name for it is "eukaryotic LSU rRNA". The stretch from base 327 to 491 matches the Rfam family "Eukaryotic large subunit ribosomal RNA", at positions 1 to 165 of the family's 3401-position model. Lineage: Eukaryota; Viridiplantae; Streptophyta; Magnoliopsida; Fabales; Fabaceae. The record is from RNAcentral.
UUAUGCGAUACUUGGUGUGAAUUGCAGAAUCCCGUGAACCAUCGAGUCUUUGAACGCAAGUUGCGCCCGAUGCCAUUAGGUUGAGGGCACGUCUGCCUGGGUGUCACAUAUCGAAGCCCCUUCCCAAUUUCCUAUUUAAUAGGUAUUGUGUGCAGGGUGAUUAUGUUGGCCUCCCGUGAGCUCUGUCUCACGGUUGGUUGAAAAUUGAGACCUUGGUAGGGUGUGCCAUGAUAGAUGGUGGAUGUGUGACCCACGAGACCAAAUCAUGUGCUGCUCUAUUGAAUGUGGACUCUUUUACCCACAUGCGUUUUGUAACGCUCGUGAUGAGACCUCAGGUCAGGCGGGGCUACCCGCUGAAUUUAAGCAUAUCAAUAAGCGGAGGAAAAGAAACUAACAAGGAUUCCCUUAGUAACGGCGAGCGAACCGGGAUAAGCCCACCAUGAGAAUCGAUUGCCCUCGGCGUUCGAAUUGUAGUCUGAGAAAAGCGUCAA